This 626-nucleotide ribosomal RNA is filed under the name Solariella delicata. RNAcentral describes it as "Machaeroplax delicatus partial 12S ribosomal RNA". The record is from RNAcentral. Lineage: Eukaryota; Metazoa; Mollusca; Gastropoda; Trochida; Solariellidae.
ACAAACAGAUCAAAUUAAAAGUAAAACAGUAAAGAAGGAGGUUAUAAAUUUAUUUUGAGGAAUAAUGCUUUUUAGAAAGGUAAAAUUUGCAUAAAAAGGGGUAAUUUAGGUUUCUUAUUUUUAGAGCCCUCGAAAUUUUGGUAUAAGACCGGGAUUAGAUACCCCGUUAUUCAAAACGUAAACUUUGAUUAUGAUAUAAUUUACUUGAGUACUACGAGUAUAGAUAAUAUAUUUUAGUAAUACGGACUUAAAACUCAAAAAACUUGGCGGUGCUCUAUACCCUUCUAGGGGAACCUGUCCUGUAAUCGAUAGUCCACGUUUUAGCUUACUUUCUUUUGUAUUUAUCAGCCUGUAUACCGUCGUCGUCAGAUAGCCUUUAAGAGAUAUGGAGCUGUCAGGAAGAAGGGAGAAAUGAAGUUGUAGGUUGUUUGGAUGUAUUAGGUGGUUAGAAAAUAAUUUUCAUGUUCUAGAUGUCAGAUCAAGGUGCAGCUUAUAAGAAAGAAGAGAUGGGUUACAAUAAUGGUUUAUUAUACGGAUUUUUAUUGGAAUAAGUAAAAUUGAAGGAGGACUUGGAAGUAAUCGGUUAAAGAUAAGAGAGCUUAGAUGAAGUAGGCUCUGGAGUGCGU